This 253-nucleotide ribosomal RNA is filed under the name uncultured bacterium. Its description in RNAcentral is "partial 16S ribosomal RNA". It matches the Rfam family "Bacterial small subunit ribosomal RNA", at positions 524 to 776 of the family's 1533-position model. The record is from RNAcentral.
UACGGAGGGUGCAAGCGUUAUCCGGAUUCACUGGGUUUAAAGGGUGCGUAGGCGGGCAGGUAAGUCCGUGGUGAAAUCUCUGAGCUUAACUCAGAAACUGCCAUGGAUACUAUUUGUCUUGAAUAUUGUGGAGGUAAGCGGAAUAUGUCAUGUAGCGGUGAAAUGCUUAGAUAUGACAUAGAACACCAAUUGCGAAGGCAGCUUACUACACGGUAAUUGACGCUGAGGCACGAAAGCGUGGGGAUCAAACAGG